UCGUUACCUGUCACUUGAGUAAUCCUAUCUCGGUCACCAUCUUUCCAUAAUAUUACAAUUUUACUUUUAAUUACUCUUAAGGUUAUUAAUGAAUUUGUGAAGAAAAAUCAAAUUGAUUUACAAAUGAACAUUUACAAAAAAGAAAUCGCCGGAUCUUCAUCCGUGCGGCGGGUGGGGUCUGUGGGAGUUGAACCUCACUCACCACCAGGUGGGCUAUGUGCUCGUUCGUCUGCUUAGAAGGGCAAUAAAAAAAAGAAGACGAUAUAGAUGAGCGGAAGCGUACGUCAAUUCAGGGCGCACGUUUUUAGAGUUGACUGAAAGCCAACAACCACAGUAGAUAUGUGUGUUCACAAGUGAAAUUUUCACUAUUAUUAAGUACGUAAUUGAGAAGAUUCCAAAAUGAAUUUUACUAAACUACGUACAAAAGGUCAUGGGUCAUUGUUCAUUGUGUUUCGGUUUGCAGUUAAUGUAUUAUUUCCUGAAUAAAAUUAUUUGCUUAUUCUACGUCGUGCAUCCAAACUGUUUUAUUUCUGACGUAAUUUAAAUUGAGUGAAUGAAUUUCAUUUAUUUAAGAAUAUACUUUGCAU
Molecule: long non-coding RNA, 587 nt
Organism: Bombyx mori (domestic silkworm)
Lineage: Eukaryota; Metazoa; Arthropoda; Insecta; Lepidoptera; Bombycidae
Exons: 2
Source: RefSeq, a predicted model, not a curated record